RNAcentral lists this ribosomal RNA (539 nucleotides) under Pichia occidentalis. RNAcentral's name for it is "eukaryotic LSU rRNA". It matches the Rfam family "Eukaryotic large subunit ribosomal RNA", at positions 39 to 595 of the family's 3401-position model. The record is from RNAcentral. Lineage: Eukaryota; Fungi; Ascomycota; Pichiomycetes; Pichiales; Pichiaceae.
CAUAUCAAUAAGCGGAGGAAAAGAAACCAACAGGGAUUGCCUCAGUAGCGGCGAGUGAAGCGGCAAAAGCUCAGAUUUGAAAUCGUGUUUCGGCACGAGUUGUAGAUUGCAGGUUGGAGUCUUUGUGGAAGCGUGUGUCUAAGUCCCUUGGAACAGGGUGCCAUUGAGGGUGAGAGCCCCGUGAGACGCGUGCGGAAGCUGUAAGGCCCUUCUGACGAGUCGAGUUGUUUGGGAAUGCAGCUCUAAGUGGGUGGUAAAUUCCAUCUAAGGCUAAAUAUUGGCGAGAGACCGAUAGCGAACAAGUACUGUGAAGGAAAGAUGAAAAGCACUUUGAAAAGAGAGUGAAACAGCACGUGAAAUUGUUGAAAGGGAAGGGUAUUGGGCUCGACAUGGGAUUUGCGCACCGCUGCUCCUUGUGGGCGGCGCUCUGUGCUUUUCCUGGGCCAGCAUCGGUUUUUGCCGCAGGAGAAGGCGUGCUGGAAUGUGGCUCUUCGGUGUGUUAUAGCCAGUGCGAGAUGCUGCGUGCGGGGACCUGAGGA